Molecule: ribosomal RNA, 455 nt
Filed under: uncultured organism
Description: partial 16S ribosomal RNA
Rfam family: Bacterial small subunit ribosomal RNA
Source: RNAcentral
ACACUCCUGCGGGAGGCAGCAGUGGGGAAUAUUGCACAAUGGGCGCAAGCCUGAUGCAGCGACGCCGCGUGGGGGAUGAAGGCCUUCGGGUUGUAAACUCCUUUCGCUAGGGACGAAGCUUUUUUGUGACGGUACCUAGAUAAGAAGCACCGGCUAACUACGUGCCAGCAGCCGCGGUAAUACGUAGGGUGCGAGCGUUGUCCGGAAUUACUGGGCGUAAAGGGCUCGUAGGUGGUUUGUCGCGUCGUCUGUGAAAUUCUGGGGCUUAACUCCGGGCGUGCAGGCGAUACGGGCAUAACUUGAGUGCUGUAGGGGUAACUGGAAUUCCUGGUGUAGCGGUGAAAUGCGCAGAUAUCAGGAGGAACACCGAUGGCGAAGGCAGGUUACUGGGCAGUUACUGACGCUGAGGAGCGAAAGCAUGGGUAGCGAACAGGAUUAGAAACCCGAGUAGUCCC